RNAcentral lists this ribosomal RNA (253 nucleotides) under uncultured bacterium. Its description in RNAcentral is "partial 16S ribosomal RNA". It matches the Rfam family "Bacterial small subunit ribosomal RNA", at positions 524 to 776 of the family's 1533-position model. The record is from RNAcentral.
UACAGAGGUCCCAAGCGUUGUUCGGAUUCACUGGGCGUAAAGGGUGCGUAGGCGGUCGGGUAAGUCUGACGUGAAAUCUUCGAGUCUAACUCGGAAACUGCGUCGGAUACUAUUCGGCUAGAGGAAUGGAGGGGAGACUGGAAUACUUGGUGUAGCAGUGAAAUGCGUAGAUAUCAAGUGGAACACCAGUGGCGAAGGCGAGUCUCUGGACAUUUCCUGACGCUGAGGCACGAAAGCCAGGGGAGCAAACGGG